This 254-nucleotide ribosomal RNA is filed under the name uncultured bacterium. Its description in RNAcentral is "partial 16S ribosomal RNA". It matches the Rfam family "Bacterial small subunit ribosomal RNA", at positions 524 to 776 of the family's 1533-position model. The record is from RNAcentral.
GACGUAGGGCGCGAGCGUUGUCCGGAUUUAUUGGGCGUAAAGAGCUCGUAGGCGGCUUGUCGCGUCGUCCGUGAAAACUUGGGGCUCAACCCCCAAGCUUGCGGUCGAUACGGGCAGGCUAGAGUUCGGUAGGGGAGACUGGAAUUCCUGGUGUAGCAGUGAAAUGCGCAGAUAUCAGGAGGAACACCGGUGGCGAAGGCGGGUCUCUGGGCCGUAACUGACGCUGAGGAGCGAAAGCAUGGGGAGCGAACAGG